CCUACGGGAGGCUGCAGUGAGGAAUAUUGGUCAAUGGGCGCUAGCCUGAACCAGCCAAGUAGCGUGAAGGAUGACUGCCCUAUGGGUUGUAAACUUCUUUUAUAUGGGAAUAAAGUGCUGUAUGUAUACUGCUUUGCAUGUACCUUAUGAAUAAGGAUCGGCUAACUCCGUGCCAGCAGCCGCGGUAAUACGGAGGAUCCGAGCGUUAUCCGGAUUUAUUGGGUUUAAAGGGAGCGUAGGCGGGUUGUUAAGUCAGUUGUGAAAGUUUGCGGCUCAACCGUAAAAUUGCAGUUGAUACUGGCAGCCUUGAGUACAGUAGAGGUAGGCGGAAUUCGUGGUGUAGCGGUGAAAUGCUUAGAUAUCACGAAGAACUCCGAUUGCGAAGGCAGCCUGCUGGACUGUAACUGACGCUGAUGCUCGAAAGUGUGGGUAUCAAACAGGAUUAGAUACCCUAGUAGUC
This 460-nucleotide ribosomal RNA is filed under the name uncultured bacterium. Its description in RNAcentral is "partial 16S ribosomal RNA". It matches the Rfam family "Bacterial small subunit ribosomal RNA", at positions 338 to 795 of the family's 1533-position model. The record is from RNAcentral.